CAGCAGCCGCGGUAAUACGAAGGGUGCAAGCGUUAAUCGGAAUUACUGGGCGUAAAGCGUGCGUAGGCGGUGAGUUAAGUCUGCUGUGAAAUCCCCGGGCUCAACCUGGGAAUGGCAGUGGAUACUGGCUCGCUAGAGUGUGUCAGAGGAUGGUGGAAUUCCCGGUGUAGCGGUGAAAUGCGUAGAGAUCGGGAGGAACACCGAUGGCGAAGGCAAUCCCCUGGACCUGUACUGACGCUCAUGCACGAAAGCGUGGGGAGCAAACAGGAUUAGAUACCCCGGUAGUCCCUGUCUCUUAUAU
RNAcentral lists this ribosomal RNA (301 nucleotides) under uncultured bacterium. Its description in RNAcentral is "partial 16S ribosomal RNA". It matches the Rfam family "Bacterial small subunit ribosomal RNA", at positions 509 to 809 of the family's 1533-position model. The record is from RNAcentral.